GAGGGUAUAGCUCAGUGGUAGGGCGCACAAGGUCCUGGGUUCAAUCCCCAGCACCUCCA
RNAcentral lists this transfer RNA (59 nucleotides) under Camelus bactrianus (Bactrian camel). It matches the Rfam family "tRNA". From Rfam's summary of the family: Transfer RNA (tRNA) molecules are approximately 80 nucleotides in length. Their secondary structure includes four short double-helical elements and three loops (D, anti-codon, and T loops). The record is from Rfam by way of RNAcentral. Lineage: Eukaryota; Metazoa; Chordata; Mammalia; Artiodactyla; Camelidae. RNAcentral also lists the same sequence under 2 other names.